Molecule: long non-coding RNA, 859 nt
Organism: Coturnix japonica (Japanese quail)
Lineage: Eukaryota; Metazoa; Chordata; Aves; Galliformes; Phasianidae
Source: RefSeq, a predicted model, not a curated record
GCUUUACAGUCUGCAUGCUGAGCCUUCCCCAUGUUUUUUUCCCAGCUUUCCAGUGAUGCACAACACAGUCCCUCCUGGAGGUGGACAAGCAAACCCCACCUUCCAGAACCUGAGGUUUCUCUCUUUGGGACACCAGCAUCUUGUGUGUCCACCCAAGGGACAUGAGCUCACACCAUGGGAGAAUGAGCAUGCCUGGAACAGCAGGGCCUAAUUCAUUGCUACAUCCCUAACAGCGCUGCUGAGAUGACUGCUGCCUGUGAGAUGUGUUAGUGGAAAGCACCUCUUCUUCAGCAGGAUAUGCUCAGGAAUGCUUUCAGUGCAGAUAAUGCACAUGAAGGUACAAUACAGCCAGUUGUCUGAGAAAAGAAGCCCGUUUUCUUCUAGUGGGUGGUAGGUAAGAAUUACUAAUCCAAUCUGCUUGAGUUAACGCAAAACAAGGAUUAGGGUAAAGUUCCCGAAUAUGUUAAUCUUCCUUUAUAGAAGUAAACUUUAGCACCGCUAUCAACCCCAUGGUUUAUGGUUCAUGGGAACAAUGAACCAAUUAAACUUGAGCGGAAAAAAAAAAAAUCUCACACAAGUUUUCUGAUUGUUACCUAAUACUUUGGAUUCUUCUGAUUCUUAAUUAUUUGCCUCUGUGUCAGAGGCACAGGAAAUAAAAUGUUGUUUAUUAUUCAUUAAACUGUUUCUAAACAUAUCCACAAUUAACUGUGUCUUAUUGUGGUUGUUCUUUUCAUCUCCCCCCUCUAUGAAUGUAGCUAUUAAAUGACACGUAAGGUCCUGGGUCGCUGAUAUAAUUGUUGGCAGCACAAACUGUCGGCUUACUGGAAUGGUUGUGCCUAUUCAUAGUUGGAUAGUUGUG